AUGGAGGAGUCAUCGAUAUGC
RNAcentral lists this non-coding RNA (21 nucleotides) under Arabidopsis thaliana (thale cress). The record is from RNAcentral. Lineage: Eukaryota; Viridiplantae; Streptophyta; Magnoliopsida; Brassicales; Brassicaceae.